CGGGGGCGUAGCCCGCCGAGGCGCCCGCGCGGCGGUGCUGGCGGUCGGCAGCGGCGCAGGAUGGGACGGGACGGGACGRAGCGCGGCGCAGAUAAGGCCACCUGAGUGUGCUGGCAAGAUAUAGAUCAGCUGUCUUCUCAAACGGGUGAACAGGAAGGAUAUUCUCUCCUCCCUUUUUUUUUUUUUAAUGGUAAUAUCAGCUGGGACUCUUGUUGGACCAGACAACAACUUCUAAAGCAGCAGUGAGACAUGACUUUGGCAACAGCGAGAUAUGCAAAGCAGAGUCUGAGCUAGUAAAUCGGCCAGGUAGAGCGAAGAAGCUGUAGGAUGCAACAGGCGCCUUUCUUGUGUUGGAAACUGGAAUAG
This 366-nucleotide long non-coding RNA is filed under the name Dromaius novaehollandiae (emu). Its description in RNAcentral is "lncRNA (ENSDNVG00000005256.1)". Lineage: Eukaryota; Metazoa; Chordata; Aves; Casuariiformes; Dromaiidae. The record is from RNAcentral.